GAGUAACACGUGAGUAACCUGCCCUUGACUCUGGGAUAAGCCUGGGAAACUGGGUCUAAUACCGGAUAUGACCUUCCAUCGCAUGGUGGUUGGUGGAAAGCUUUUGUGGUUUUGGAUGGACUCGCGGCCUAUCAGCUUGUUGGUGGGGUAAUGGCCUACCAAGGCGACGACGGGUAGCCGGCCUGAGAGGGUGACCGGCCACACUGGGACUGAGACACGGCCCAGACUCCUACGGGAGGCAGCAGUGGGGAAUAUUGCACAAUGGGCGCAAGCCUGAUGCAGCGACGCCGCGUGAGGGAUGACGGCCUUCGGGUUGUAAACCUCUUUCAGUAGGGAAGAAGCGUAAGUGACGGUACCUGCAGAAGAAGCGCCGGCUAACUACGUGCCAGCAGCCGCGGUAAUACGUAGGGCGCAAGCGUUAUCCGGAAUUAUUGGGCGUAAAGAGCUCGUAGGCGGUUUGUCGCGUCUGCCGUGAAAGUCCGGGGCUCAACUCCGGAUCUGCGGUGGGUACGGGCAGACUAGAGUGAUGUAGGGGAGACUGGAAUUCCUGGUGUAGCGGUGAAAUGCGCAGAUAUCAGGAGGAACACCGAUGGCGAAGGCAGGUCUCUGGGCAUUAACUGACGCUGAGGAGCGAAAGCAUGGGGAGCGAACAGGAUUAGAUACCCUGGUAGUCCAUGCCGUAAACGUUGGGCACUAGGUGUGGGGGACAUUCCACGUUUUCCGCGCCGUAGCUAACGCAUUAAGUGCCCCGCCUGGGGAGUACGGCCGCAAGGCUAAAACUCAAAGGAAUUGACGGGGGCCCGCACAAGCGGCGGAGCAUGCGGAUUAAUUCGAUGCAACGCGAAGAACCUUACCAAGGCUUGACAUGAACCAGACCGCCGCAGAAAUGUGGUUUCCCCUUUGGGGUUGGUUUACAGGUGGUGCAUGGUUGUCGUCAGCUCGUGUCGUGAGAUGUUGGGUUAAGUCCCGCAACGAGCGCAACCCUCGUUCCAUGUUGCCAGCGGGUAGUGCCGGGGACUCAUGGGAGACUGCCGGGGUCAACUCGGAGGAAGGUGGGGACGACGUCAAAUCAUCAUGCCCCUUAUGUCUUGGGCUUCACGCAUGCUAC
Molecule: ribosomal RNA, 1108 nt
Filed under: Arthrobacter pascens
Lineage: Bacteria; Bacillati; Actinomycetota; Actinomycetes; Micrococcales; Micrococcaceae
Description: bacterial SSU rRNA
Rfam family: Bacterial small subunit ribosomal RNA
Source: RNAcentral